RNAcentral lists this ribosomal RNA (461 nucleotides) under uncultured bacterium. RNAcentral describes it as "bacterial SSU rRNA". It matches the Rfam family "Bacterial small subunit ribosomal RNA", at positions 29 to 507 of the family's 1533-position model. The record is from RNAcentral.
AACGAACGCUGGCGGCAUGCCUAACACAUGCAAGUCGAACGAGUGCCUUCGGGUGCUAGUGGCGCACGGGUGAGUAACGCGUGGGAACCUGCCUUUCGGUACGGGAUAACGUCGGGAAACUGACGCUAAUACCGUAUAUGUCUUUGGAUGAAAGAUUUAUCGCCGGAAGAGGGGCCCGCGUCUGAUUAGGUAGUUGGUGAGGUAACGGCUCACCAAGCCUUCGAUCAGUAGCUGGUCUGAGAGGAUGAUCAGCCACACUGGGACUGAGACACGGCCCAGACCCCUACGGGAGGCAGCAGUGGGGAAUUUUGGACAAUGGGGGCAACCCUGAUCCAGCCAUGCCGCGUGAGUGAAGAAGGCCUUCGGGUUGUAAAGGCUCUUUCGGCCGGGAAGGAAAUCGUAUCAGCUAAUACCUGGUGCGGAUGACGGUACCGGCAUAAGAAGCACCGGCUAACUACGUG